This 393-nucleotide ribosomal RNA is filed under the name uncultured bacterium. RNAcentral's name for it is "bacterial SSU rRNA". It matches the Rfam family "Bacterial small subunit ribosomal RNA", at positions 28 to 412 of the family's 1533-position model. The record is from RNAcentral.
GACGAACGCUGACGGUGUGCUUUAGACAUGCAAGUCGAACGCGAAAGCCCUUCGGGGUUAGUAGAGUGGCGAACGGGCGAGUAACACGUGGGCAAUCUGCCCCUCGCAGGGGGACGAACCGGAGGAAACUCCGGCUAAUACCCCGUACGCUUGCUGGACCGCAUGGUCCGGCAAGGAAAGGUAGCUUCGGCCAUCCGGCGAGGGAUGAGCCCGCGGUGCAUUAGCUAGUUGGUGAGGUAACGGCUCACCCAAGGCAACGAUGCAUAGCUGGUCUGAGAGGAUGAUCAGCCACACUGGGACUGAGACACGGCCCAGACUCCUACGGGAGGCAGCAGUCGGGAAUCUUGCGCAAUGGGCGAAAGCCUGACGCAGCAACACCGUGUGAGCGACGAA